AUAAAAGCGACACCACCUGCGCAUUUUAGAACUCAACUGCAAACCGCAACUUCAUACGCUACCGGCGCUUCUUAGAGCAUUAAGAGCCCGAGGGCCGGGUGUAUACACCGACCGCCUAUCUUCCCCUGAUUUCAAAUUACAGAAGAACCGGAGCUUCAUAACCUUGGAUUGCUGCUCUUAUCUGUUCCGGUGACGACGUCCGAUCAAAACCCUAAAGUCUAAAUCAAUUUUCCCGCCGAUCUAUCUAUUGGGAGAUGGACAGCAUUAAGUGAAUGCCUAAGGCUAAUUGGAGUUCGGGGAGCAUUAAGCGAAUGCCUGAGGCUAUUUGGAGUUCAAUUCAGUCAGGGGUUAUCUUGUACCAUUUCCCAAGGAUUGUUGAGGAGUUGGUUUCAACAGUCUCAAUGCUGGUGCCACCAAGGUGUACUAAUUUACCCUUUCAAAGUUUCAAUGUUCUUUAUGACUUUACUAGCCUACUAGGUAUUGAAUGGUAAGAUGUGGAGUUGUUCUUGAAGGCCCCACUCGCACAACUCUAAAAAAAUUAAGUAGUUUAAUUAAAAGAAAUUAUGAUUUGUAGUAUAUGAAUGAAGACACUCAAUUGGACAGACUUUCGUAAACACCCUCACUGGUAUAUGUUGCUAUAGGCAGUGGGACCUGCUAUGUUAAGGUGGAUGACAACGCUGAGUAUUAGUUUCUUUGACAUUAAUCUAUGCAUUUUGAUGUGCAGAAAGUCCUGCUCAAUUUAUUAUUUUACUUCAUCAUCUGAAGUUGUACUUUCUUUUGAAGGAUCUUGUGUUUCACGAGAUGGACUGGUGCUGAUGGGAGAAAUAUAUGGUAAUCUUUUUGCAAAGUGUUGUACUGACAUCAUCUUUUCUAUUGUAUUGAUGCUGCUGUACAUAAUUUUUUUUGCCUGACACUAUGAUGUUCAUAACUUGGAAUGAUUGUUGCAGUCUAUAGGAUUAUUGCAUGCAUUACUCAACUGAUAGGCUGUUU
Long non-coding RNA from Solanum dulcamara, 990 nucleotides. RefSeq lists it as uncharacterized. The record is from RefSeq and is a predicted model, not a curated record. Lineage: Eukaryota; Viridiplantae; Streptophyta; Magnoliopsida; Solanales; Solanaceae. The transcript has 3 exons.